Molecule: non-coding RNA, 29 nt
Filed under: Rattus norvegicus (Norway rat)
Lineage: Eukaryota; Metazoa; Chordata; Mammalia; Rodentia; Muridae
Source: RNAcentral
UGCCACUGUUCAUGUGCACACGUGGCAGG